AUCUCUCUUGACUUUUGGAUGGUAAAUAUUAUUAAUGCCAAUUGAGCUUAUCUGGUCUGCUUCAGUGAUCUCUUAUGAAUGAAGCUACUUGGUUGCUAUUGACCUAUUGUCAUGCCAGAAGCCAAAGUUUGAGUAACUAGCUAACAAUGAGCUAGCCAAGAUGAUUCAGUUGCAUCUAAAAUGAUUUCCUAAAAUAACGUGGUAGCGACGUGCUGGCAUGUGCAACACAAGGGGGUCCUGACGAGACUGGUACAUGUGGCAUUGACUUGGAGAUGAUGAGUACAACUGUACAAUAUGUGUUGGAAGUUUUCAAAAUAGUGAAAUUUUGAUUCAAACUCAGGUUUCUUGUGCUACUCCAAGAAGUAAAAACCACCAAGUCAAUUGAUCAUUUGUGUAAACACAUGUCUUCAAAAUUAUCUGGUGAAAAAUCAAACUGUCGGGAGGGCACACUAUAUAUUGUGUGGUACUAUUAUUGUAUAGAAUUGAAUUAGGUGCAGUCACUUGUGUGUGCAGCCGUGCAGCGAGCACCUCAGAACUGUCUGAUGGUAGCUAGAAAUGUAAGUUAUUAACUAUGAAAACGUAAGUCAUUAAUCACUUAUUUUACAUAGAUUUAUGUACUUAUGUCAUUUUGUAAGUCUCUAAAGCAAUAAGGUUGAAUAAGUUUUGUGGUUUGCAAGUUGGAAACGAAGAAUUUAAAAUUACUCAUCUUCAGUAUGUCGAUGACGCAUUGAUUUUUAGGGAUAAAAAGAGUCUGUGCAAUGUGAGAACAAUUGGAUUUAAUCUUUUGGUUUUUGAACUAAUUUCUAGGCUUAAUGUGAAUUUUUUCAAGAGUUUGUUGGUUGGCAUUAAUAUGUUUGUAGCUCUUGGUCAAAUGAAGUUUUUUUUACAAUAAGGUCAAAUGAAGUUGUUGCCAUGUUAAAUUGCAAAGUAGAUAGAACCCUUUUAAGUACUUGGGGUUGCCUAUUGGUGUCAACUUGCCAAAAAAUUGAUGUUUUGGAAUCAUGUGGUUGAAAGGAUUAUAGGAAGAUUGUCUUUUUGGAAGUUUUGUAGUUUAUUUACAUGAGC
This 1065-nucleotide long non-coding RNA is filed under the name Trifolium pratense (red clover). Its description in RNAcentral is "long non-coding RNA (TPRA_LNC004904)". The record is from RNAcentral. Lineage: Eukaryota; Viridiplantae; Streptophyta; Magnoliopsida; Fabales; Fabaceae.